This 76-nucleotide transfer RNA is filed under the name Dehalococcoidia bacterium. RNAcentral describes it as "tRNA-Ala". It matches the Rfam family "tRNA". Rfam says of the family: Transfer RNA (tRNA) molecules are approximately 80 nucleotides in length. Their secondary structure includes four short double-helical elements and three loops (D, anti-codon, and T loops). The record is from RNAcentral. Lineage: Bacteria; Bacillati; Chloroflexota; Dehalococcoidia. RNAcentral also lists the same sequence under 1 other name.
GGGGCUGUAGCUCAGUUGGGAGAGCGCCUCCCUUGCACGGAGGAAGUCGGGGGUUCGAGUCCCCCCAGCUCCACCA